This 106-nucleotide small nucleolar RNA is filed under the name Cephalotus follicularis. RNAcentral describes it as "Plant small nucleolar RNA R71". It matches the Rfam family "Plant small nucleolar RNA R71". From Rfam's summary of the family: R71 is a member of the C/D box family of snoRNAs containing the C (UGAUGA) and D (CUGA) box motifs. Multiple nearly identical copies of this snoRNA have been identified in Arabidopsis, and it is thought to function as a 2'-O-ribose methylation guide for 18S ribosomal RNA. Lineage: Eukaryota; Viridiplantae; Streptophyta; Magnoliopsida; Oxalidales; Cephalotaceae. The record is from Rfam by way of RNAcentral.
ACGGUAUGAUGGGGACAUUUCCAGAUGAAGCCCGUUAAUCUUUCCCAUGAUUCAUGAAACUGCUCACCAUUUUGCUGUGAGAAACUAAUGAGAGCUCUCCUUAUCU